UGUUGAUCAUUAUUUAAUGUGUAGUUUGCAAUAUAUAUGUGUAUUAUAUGGUAUGGUGCAUAUAUAUAUCUAAUAUGAAUGUACAUUUAGCUGUUAAAAUAGGUGUAUGAAAUAUUGCAGACCUUUUUGCUUAGAUUUGAAAAAGUUACAUUUUCAAUGACAUUUCCACAAGGUUAACAGCUAAAAGGUUGAAGUUAAAUUAGAACAAACACAUGUGUUGUCAGUCAAAUGUAUACAAAACACUUCACUUAAUUUUGAUGCUAACUAUAGGCAGAGCCAUCUAGGGUAUAUCCCAAACUUAGAUAUUCAAUACAUUACAUCAUGCAACAAGUUAGAAAACCUUUUUGGGAGUAUUACACAGGUGGGGGCUGCUUUAUGGAGGACAAAAUGGCUAUUUAACUGAAGGAGAAAGAGUGGGACGUUGUCAUUCAUUCAUCAUUCAUUCAUUCAUUCAUCUACUCUUACUCUGCAUGCUGUCACCACACAUCUGAAAGGUAUACAGGGACAUAUGCUGUAGCCACUAAUACAUUUGGUAAGAUUAAUUAUUUACUGACUAUUUUUGCAUUCUGUAACAUUCAUUCAAUACACUUUUAUCUUAUAUUUA
Long non-coding RNA from Pelobates fuscus (common spadefoot toad), 604 nucleotides. RefSeq lists it as uncharacterized. The record is from RefSeq and is a predicted model, not a curated record. The transcript is spliced from 2 exons. Lineage: Eukaryota; Metazoa; Chordata; Amphibia; Anura; Pelobatidae.